GUUAGAGGUGAAAUUCUUGGAUCGUCGCAAGACGCACUAGAGCGAAAGCAUUUGCCAAGUAUGUCUUAAUUGAUCAAGAACGAAAGUUAGAGGUUCGAAGGCGAUCAGAUACCGCCCUAGUUCUAACCAUAAACGAUGCCAGCCAGCGAUCCGCCGACGUUCCUCCGAUGACUCGGCGGGGAGCUUUCCCCGGGAAACCAAAGCUUUUGGGUUCCGGGGGAAGUAUGGUUGCAAAGCUGAAACUUAAAGGAAUUGACGGAAGGGCACCACCAGGAGUGGAGCCUGCGGCUUAAUUUGACUCAACACGGGAAAGCUCACCAGGCCCGGACAUUGGAAGGAUUGACAGAUCGAUAGCUCUUUCUCGAUUCAGUGGGUAGUGGUGCAUGGCCGUUCUUAGUUGGUGGACUGAUUUGUCUGGUUAAUUCCGAUAACGAACGAGACUCUAACCUAUUAACUAGGCGUUGCCGGUAUAAACAGCUACCGGCGAGAUUUUUUCUUCUUAAGGGGACAGGCGGCUCUUAGCCGCACGAGAUUGAGCAAUAACAGGUCU
RNAcentral lists this ribosomal RNA (550 nucleotides) under Odontocurtus consociatus. RNAcentral's name for it is "SSU rRNA". It matches the Rfam family "Eukaryotic small subunit ribosomal RNA", at positions 904 to 1463 of the family's 1831-position model. The record is from RNAcentral. Lineage: Eukaryota; Metazoa; Arthropoda; Insecta; Hemiptera; Coreidae.